AAUUAUUUUUAGUAUGUAAAUAUAUGGUAUUCACUUACAUGAUAUUUUUUGAAAAGUUAACGAAGGAGUGAUUUCUAUAGACGAGAAUCAUUCCUAAACUUCCUAAAUUUCAAUUCUCUAGCUAACAAUGUUCUUUCUCUGUUCGUUAGGUAAUUUGAUAAAGUAAACAACCGAUCCUAAAACUGGAGUAAGAGAUUUUUAAAGCUGACACCAGUCCGUAAUGAAGCUUCGAGUAGAUAAGUAGAUCCCUGGACUAAUCAGUCCGAAAAUCAGAAAAAUAAUAUUCUUUGGGACAAUGACAAAGUGUACAAACACGACUACAUUACAUGAUAUAAGAUAUAAAUAGUGAAGAGCAAUUUCAAAAAGACUAGUAUAAAUCCAGAAAAGAACGGUAACAAUAAUAGUAAUACCACCGAAUAUGAAAACAGGAAAAAUCUCAUAGAUGAUGAUAAGGAUGAAAAUCCUGCAAAGCUUAUCACAGAUAUCGUAGAAAAUUAUAAGGGAUAAUAUUUUGUAAUGAAAUAUGCUCUUCAAUAUCUACAAAUUCAUAUAAAUUAAAUAUCAUUACAAUAUAUUGGUUAGUUCCACGGUCACGAUAUAUUAUAUUACGUAAGUCGAUGGACCACGAUUGCGCAAAAAAUUACCAUCUAUUUGCUGACAGUUAACAUCCGAGAGGGUGCCGAACAAACAGAGUUUUUACAUUCUAUGCAUCUUUAUUGCUUUCACAGACGAAAAGGUAGAAGAUGAAAUUAAUUAAGACUUCUCUAACGAUCUCUUUUAAUUUGACAUAUUAUGAUUUCUGUUUUACUACCAUAUCCAUAUUCCAUAACAGAAUAUUGUUACAAAUGCUUCUGCUUUAUUUUUAUUGAUCUCACCCUACCAAAUAUUCACAUUCCAUGAAACGAAAUUAAUUCUCUUAUUAAUAUUCUCUCAUAACAAAAAUAUCUUGCGGGCGUUAAUAUACAUAUUUUUAAUUCCUAUGUGACAAAAUCAGCCAAAGAUGUUGUUCAUGUAAACAAUAUCUUCUUUGGUCAUAAUACAAAUAAUAUGGUGUGCAAAGUGACCAGAACGAGGUGUACCUGCUUUUUUAUUAUGAUCCUAAUAUAUAGUACCUUACAGGAACAAAUACAUUUAUAAGAGAAUAUUUUCAAAGAAUCCUACGUCAAAAACAUAUUCAUCAUCUAUUAUGGAAUGUCAAGAAAUUGACGUUCGAAGUUGUUCUCCAGUGUUAUCAUCUAAAAAGAUUGUGCUUUAAUAUUUUUAGAUCCUUGUUACAGUUUUUAGGCAAUGACAUGCCGCUUUAUAUUAUAACUCGAAUUUAAAAAAAGGAAGAACAGAAAAAUACAUAUCCAUAUAUCUUAUGUGCGGACACUGAAUUAUAUAAUAACGAUCGGCGGCAUUUUACUAUCAACGAUUAUCGACGGUUUCCUAAACAUAUUUGCUAUUUCUUAGCUGUAGUAAUAAUCAACGUGCUGGGUUCGAAAGGAAGGCAUUUCCUUUACAAACGUGAUCCGCAUAAUUAUGUUCCAUAGCGUCUUCGUUACGUGGUUGCAAUUAACAAGGAAGAAGAGGAAGAAGAGGACAAACAUUUAUAAUGGUGUUGACGACGAUCCUCAAAGUAUUGCCUCAAGGUAAUCGUCAAUUAAAAUAGCGCUGUAUUACAAAGCUUCAUUCAUAUGGUGAUACGAGGAUAUGGAAUAUACGUUAUUGAAAGGAUUCAAAGGUAAGUGGCUUUAGAUAGAGGAUAUAAUGGAGUGUUAUGGGAAAGAUUUAUCGUAGGUUUGUUUGCCGUUGCAAAGGGAAUCUGGAUUCAAAUGGAACUGAAAUGGUACUCAGGCAGCUUUAUCAUUGAAAAUGAUCAAAGCUGUGUAUACGAUCAAAGUAUUCAUUGUUCUUCGGGAUAAUAACGUUAGCCCGGACACGCUUUUAAAUUAUGCGUUAAUAUGUAGAGUACGUUUAUCUCACCGUGUCAUCGUUAUACCGUCAGUUUAUAUUAUUAUUCAAUAUAAUUAAAAAGAGAAGAAGUGUUUGGUUCAAUGUUCCAAAUUAU
Long non-coding RNA from Vespula vulgaris, 2050 nucleotides. RefSeq lists it as uncharacterized. Lineage: Eukaryota; Metazoa; Arthropoda; Insecta; Hymenoptera; Vespidae. The transcript is spliced from 2 exons. The record is from RefSeq and is a predicted model, not a curated record.